Molecule: microRNA, 23 nt
Filed under: Sus scrofa (pig)
Lineage: Eukaryota; Metazoa; Chordata; Mammalia; Artiodactyla; Suidae
Description: ssc-miR-9784-5p
Source: miRBase by way of RNAcentral
AACGGGUUGUCUCAGUUGUCAGC